AUUGAACGCUGGCGGCAGGCUUAACACAUGCAAGUCGAGCGGGGGAAGGUAGCUUGCUACCGGACCUAGCGGCGGACGGGUGAGUAAUGCUUAGGAAUCUGCCUAUUAGUGGGGGACAACAUCUCGAAAGGGAUGCUAAUACCGCAUACGUCCUACGGGAGAAAGCAGGGGAUCUUCGGACCUUGCGCUAAUAGAUGAGCCUAAGUCGGAUUAGCUAGUUGGUGGGGUAAAGGCCUACCAAGGCGACGAUCGGUAGCGGGUCUGAGAGGAUGAUCCGCCACACUGGGACAGAGACACGGCCCAGACUCCUACGGGAGGCAGCAGUGGGGAAUAUUGGACAAUGGGGGGAACCCUGAUCCAGCCAUGCCGCGUGUGUGAAGAAGGCCUUAUGGUUGUAAAGCACUUUAAGCGAGGAGGAGGCUACUCUAGUUAAUACCUAGGGAUAGUGGACGUUACUCGCAGAAUAAGCACCGGCUAACUCUGUGCCAGCCGCCGCCGUAA
Molecule: ribosomal RNA, 501 nt
Filed under: uncultured bacterium
Lineage: Bacteria
Description: partial 16S ribosomal RNA
Rfam family: Bacterial small subunit ribosomal RNA
Source: RNAcentral